GAAGCAAUGAUGGAAGCAUGGGGGCCAAAAACUGAGGCUGAAUCCUGAUAAGAUGGAGAUGCUAAUGCUUCAUCUGGUAACCAACCAGGCCUCCCACUAAUACAAGCCCGACAACACACCCAAGAGCAAUUCCAGCAAUGAUUCCUCCAGAGAGUCCUGUGGCUUUUGUUUCUUGUCCUGGUGCUGGAGAUUCUUCUUCUCCUCCUCCUCCUUCUGAAGACAAAGAAAGGCCACGUGAAAACUGGGAAGAGUAGCCACAAUGUCUUGCUCCUGCUAUCAUCAGAUACGUUUGCAGUGAUGUGGAAAUCUGGAAAACUGAAUUCAAGAUUGGGAAAAUGAGAACCUGGGAGAAGCCAAAAUGGACAGAUUUUCUCAUCCUGAGUAAUGGGAAUGCCAAUGGAAUGGGCAGAGUGUGGUUCCCAGAAACGCCAAGAUCAUCUUUAUUUCACACCCCAUUCCUCUCAACUGCCUCUCACUCAGAGCGUGUCUCAUUUGCUAAUGAAAAGAACAUCUUCUGAAUCAGGCCAAUGGCCCAUCUAGUCCACCGCCUUGUUCUCACUGUGGCCAAGCAGGUGCCCAAGAAGCCUGGAGGCAACUGGUUUUCAGAAAUAUACUGUCUUUGACAGUGGACCAUCUUAUGUGGCAUCAAGGCUAAGGGUAUGGGCUGAGAAAGUCAAAUCUUAUUCCAAAUCUUACUUCAGCUGUGAGUUCAUUAAGCAAUCCCAAGAGAGCACCACCCAGCCGCAGCAAUCCUGGCCUACCUUACAACGUUGUUGUAAAGGUUACUGCUUGGUGUGAAGGGCUUUGUGUUUUCUAAAAUGAUAUAGGAACGAGUUGCUAAUAAAGUCAUUAUCAUUCCUUCUAGGCCCUUCCAUACAGAGAUGUAUGCCUGGUGGGAAACAUCAACUGGCACCCAAUUUGCACGGGUUCCAAAGAAUCAUUUGAAGGGCUGUUCAGUCCAGGUCUCUUUAAGAAGAGAGAGCAGAGGGGCUCAUCAACACAGGGAAUAACCUGGGCAACAGACUGAGCAGGCACACGGGUCAUUA
Rhineura floridana is the source of this 1046-nucleotide long non-coding RNA. RefSeq lists it as uncharacterized. The transcript has 3 exons. Lineage: Eukaryota; Metazoa; Chordata; Lepidosauria; Squamata; Rhineuridae. The record is from RefSeq and is a predicted model, not a curated record.